RNAcentral lists this RNase P RNA (367 nucleotides) under Hyphomicrobiales bacterium. RNAcentral's name for it is "Rhizobiales bacterium RNase P RNA component class A". It matches the Rfam family "Bacterial RNase P class A". From Rfam's summary of the family: Ribonuclease P (RNase P) is a ubiquitous endoribonuclease, found in archaea, bacteria and eukarya as well as chloroplasts and mitochondria. Its best characterised activity is the generation of mature 5'-ends of tRNAs by cleaving the 5'-leader elements of precursor-tRNAs. Cellular RNase Ps are ribonucleoproteins. Lineage: Bacteria; Pseudomonadati; Pseudomonadota; Alphaproteobacteria; Hyphomicrobiales. The record is from RNAcentral.
UCAGUUGACCGGGUGGCCGCACCGCAAGGUGAGGAAAGUCCGGGCUCCAUCGAAAUACGGUGACGGCUAACGGCCGCCGGGGGCGACCCUAGGGAAAGUGCCACAGAGAGCAGACCGCCCAUCUCCGGAUGGGUAAGGGUGAAAGGGUGCGGUAAGAGCGCACCGCGGGCCUGGCAACAGGACCGGCACGGCAAACCCCACCGGGAGCAAGACCAAAUAGGGAUGACACGGGGCAACCCAGCCGAUUUCGAGGCCUGUCAUCCGGGUUGGUUGCUUGAGGUGCCUCGUAACAGGCGCCCCAGAGGAAUGGCCAUCACGCCGGCGCAAGCCGGCCCUACAGAACCCGGCUUACAGGUCAACUGGCGCC